RNAcentral lists this ribosomal RNA (937 nucleotides) under Vibrio alginolyticus. RNAcentral describes it as "bacterial SSU rRNA". It matches the Rfam family "Bacterial small subunit ribosomal RNA", at positions 297 to 1226 of the family's 1533-position model. Lineage: Bacteria; Pseudomonadati; Pseudomonadota; Gammaproteobacteria; Vibrionales; Vibrionaceae. The record is from RNAcentral.
AGGAUGAUCAGCCACACUGGAACUGAGACACGGUCCAGACUCCUACGGGAGGCAGCAGUGGGGAAUAUUGCACAAUGGGCGCAAGCCUGAUGCAGCCAUGCCGCGUGUGUGAAGAAGGCCUUCGGGUUGUAAAGCACUUUCAGUCGUGAGGAAGGUAGUGUAGUUAAUAGCUGCAUUAUUUGACGUUAGCGACAGAAGAAGCACCGGCUAACUCCGUGCCAGCAGCCGCGGUAAUACGGAGGGUGCGAGCGUUAAUCGGAAUUACUGGGCGUAAAGCGCAUGCAGGUGGUUUGUUAAGUCAGAUGUGAAAGCCCGGGGCUCAACCUCGGAAUAGCAUUUGAAACUGGCAGACUAGAGUACUGUAGAGGGGGGUAGAAUUUCAGGUGUAGCGGUGAAAUGCGUAGAGAUCUGAAGGAAUACCGGUGGCGAAGGCGGCCCCCUGGACAGAUACUGACACUCAGAUGCGAAAGCGUGGGGAGCAAACAGGAUUAGAUACCCUGGUAGUCCACGCCGUAAACGAUGUCUACUUGGAGGUUGUGGCCUUGAGCCGUGGCUUUCGGAGCUAACGCGUUAAGUAGACCGCCUGGGGAGUACGGUCGCAAGAUUAAAACUCAAAUGAAUUGACGGGGGCCCGCACAAGCGGUGGAGCAUGUGGUUUAAUUCGAUGCAACGCGAAGAACCUUACCUACUCUUGACAUCCAGAGAACUUUCCAGAGAUGGAUUGGUGCCUUCGGGAACUCUGAGACAGGUGCUGCAUGGCUGUCGUCAGCUCGUGUUGUGAAAUGUUGGGUUAAGUCCCGCAACGAGCGCAACCCUUAUCCUUGUUUGCCAGCGAGUAAUGUCGGGAACUCCAGGGAGACUGCCGGUGAUAAACCGGAGGAAGGUGGGGACGACGUCAAGUCAUCAUGGCCCUUACGAGUAGGGCUACACACGUGCU